CUACGGGUGGCAGCAGUGGGGAAUAUUGGACAAUGGGCGAAAGCCUGAUCCAGCAAUGCCGCGUGAGUGAUGAAGGCCUUAGGGUUGUAAAGCUCUUUUACCAGGGAUGAUAAUGACAGUACCUGGAGAAUAAGCUCCGGCUAACUCCGUGCCAGCAGCCGCGGUAAUACGGAGGGAGCUAGCGUUGUUCGGAAUUACUGGGCGUAAAGCGUGCGUAGGCGGCUUUUCAAGUCAGGGGUGAAAUCCCGGGGCCCAACCCCGGAACUGCCCUUGAAACUGGAUGGCUAGAAUACUGGAGAGGUGAGUGGAAUUCCGGGUGUAGAGGUGAAAUUCGUAGAUAUUCGGAAGAACACCAGUGGCGAAGGCGACUCACUGGGCAGUUAUUGACGCUGAGGUGCGAAAGCGUGGGGAGCAAACAGGAUUAGAUACCCCCGUAGUC
Molecule: ribosomal RNA, 439 nt
Filed under: uncultured bacterium
Lineage: Bacteria
Description: partial 16S ribosomal RNA
Rfam family: Bacterial small subunit ribosomal RNA
Source: RNAcentral